GUUGUGGCUCAGUGGUAGAGCGCUUGCCUAACGUACAUGAGGCACUGGGUUCGAUCCCCAGCACUACA
RNAcentral lists this transfer RNA (68 nucleotides) under Marmota monax (woodchuck). RNAcentral describes it as "tRNA.Val". The stretch from base 3 to 63 matches the Rfam family "tRNA", at positions 6 to 65 of the family's 71-position model. From Rfam's summary of the family: Transfer RNA (tRNA) molecules are approximately 80 nucleotides in length. Their secondary structure includes four short double-helical elements and three loops (D, anti-codon, and T loops). Lineage: Eukaryota; Metazoa; Chordata; Mammalia; Rodentia; Sciuridae. The record is from RNAcentral.